RNAcentral lists this ribosomal RNA (115 nucleotides) under Nanobdellota archaeon. The record is from RNAcentral. Lineage: Archaea; Nanobdellati; Nanobdellota.
AUGAAGGUUCAUAUAGCCUUGGGUUACACCUGUUCUCAUCUCGAACACAGAAGUUAAGCCUGGUUAGCCUUGGUGAGUACUGUUAUUUAACGGAAAAUCCUUGGUGACCUUCCAC